GAUCAUGCUCAGGAUGAACGCUAGCUACAGGCUUAACACAUGCAAGUCGAGGGGAAACGACAUCGAAAGCUUGCUUUUGAUGGGCGUCGACCGGCGCACGGGUGAGUAACGCGUAUCCAACCUGCCCACCACUUGGGGAUAACCUUGCGAAAGUAAGACUAAUACCCAAUGACAUCCCACGAAGACAUCUGAAUGGGAUUAAAGAUUUAUCGGUGAUGGAUGGGGAUGCGUCUGAUUAG
RNAcentral lists this ribosomal RNA (239 nucleotides) under uncultured bacterium. RNAcentral's name for it is "partial 16S ribosomal RNA". It matches the Rfam family "Bacterial small subunit ribosomal RNA", at positions 15 to 244 of the family's 1533-position model. The record is from RNAcentral.